GGACGAACGCUGGCGGCGUGCUUCAUACAUGCAAGUCGAACGAGAAUCUGGCUUCGGUCAGAGGAAAGUGGCGGACGGGUGAGUAAAAUGUAGAGAAUCUGCCCUAGAGAGUGGGACAACAGAGGGAAACUUCUGCUAAUACCGCAUAUGCGCGUAGUUGAGAUACUAUUCGUGAAAACUCCGGUGCUCUGGGAUGAGUCUGCAUCUGAUUAGCUAGUAGGCGGUGUAAUGGACCACCUAGGCGACGAUCAGUAGCUGGUUUGAGAGGAUGAUCAGCCACAAUGGGACUGAGACACGGCCCAUACUCCUACGGGAGGCAGCAGUAGGGAAUUUUGCGCAAUGGGGGAAACCCUGACGCAGCAACGCCGCGUGAUUGAAGAAGCCCUUCGGGGUGUAAAGAUCUGUCAGUGGGGACGAAACUUGACGGUACCCACAGAGGAAGCAUCGGCUAACUCCGUGCCAGCCGCCGC
This 470-nucleotide ribosomal RNA is filed under the name uncultured bacterium. RNAcentral describes it as "bacterial SSU rRNA". It matches the Rfam family "Bacterial small subunit ribosomal RNA", at positions 27 to 518 of the family's 1533-position model. The record is from RNAcentral.